RNAcentral lists this ribosomal RNA (492 nucleotides) under uncultured bacterium. RNAcentral describes it as "partial 16S ribosomal RNA". It matches the Rfam family "Bacterial small subunit ribosomal RNA", at positions 29 to 507 of the family's 1533-position model. The record is from RNAcentral.
AGUGAACGCUGGCGGUAGGCCUAACACAUGCAAGUCGAACGGCAGCACAGUAAGAGCUUGCUCUUACGGGUGGCGAGUGGCGGACGGGUGAGGAAUACAUCGGAAUCUACUUUUUCGUGGGGGAUAACGUAGGGAAACUUACGCUAAUACCGCAUACGACCUACGGGUGAAAGCAGGGGAUCCUCGGACCUUGCGCGAUUGAAUGAGCCGAUGUCGGAUUAGCUAGUUGGCGGGGUAAAGGCCCACCAAGGCGACGAUCCGUAGCUGGUCUGAGAGGAUGAUCAGCCACACUGGAACUGAGACACGGUCCAGACUCCUACGGGAGGCAGCAGUGGGGAAUAUUGGACAAUGGGCGCAAGCCUGAUCCAGUCAUACUGCGUGGGUGAAGAAGGCCUUCGGGUUGUAAAGCCCUUUUGUUGGGAAAGAAAAGCAGCAGGUUAAUACCCCGCUGUUCUGACGGUACCCAAAGAAUAAGCACCGGCUAACUUCGUG